This 396-nucleotide long non-coding RNA is filed under the name Nicotiana tabacum (common tobacco). RNAcentral's name for it is "long non-coding RNA (NTAB_LNC006142)". Lineage: Eukaryota; Viridiplantae; Streptophyta; Magnoliopsida; Solanales; Solanaceae. The record is from RNAcentral.
GGAUUUUUGUUGUAGCCUUCUGCUUCCCGGUGCUGAGGAUUUUUAUUGUUUCCUGCUGGGGAUUCCUGUUGUAACCUUCUACCUUCCGGUGGGGUUACUGAUUUCCAAAAUCUGCAGUAUAAGACUAAAAAGUAUUCCUCUUGUUAUACAGGUGGGCGCCUGAAACAUGAAAUGUAAAGACUGAAAAGUAUUCCUCUCGUUAUACAGGUGGGCGCCUGGCAUGAAAUGUAAAGACUGAAAAGUAUUCCUCUCGUUAUACAGGUGGGCGCCUGUUUCAACACUUGUAAUGAAAAGACUGAAAUGUAUGCCUCUGUUCUAUGGGCGGGCUCCCAACUUCAACACUUGAAAUAAAAAGACUGAAAUGUAUACCUCUCGUUAUAUAGGUGGGCGCCUGGC